Athene cunicularia (burrowing owl) is the source of this 4787-nucleotide long non-coding RNA. RefSeq lists it as uncharacterized. NCBI's taxonomy places the organism in Eukaryota, Metazoa, Chordata, Aves, Strigiformes, Strigidae. The transcript is spliced from 2 exons. The record is from RefSeq and is a predicted model, not a curated record.
CUAUGGGAAUGGCACGGAGACCUCUCGGUCCCUGUGCAAUCUAAGCCGUAGCAAUACCGAGAGUGAGGGCUCUGGCUACAAGGCUGUUGGUGCAGCCCCGCGCGCCGUGGGCCAGCUCUCGCCCCGCCGGCAGCCUCCCCAGCGAUGUCACCGCGGAGCGGGGGGCAAGCUGUCCUCAUGCCUGGAGCCCCCUGCCUACAGCCAGGACAAGCUGUAGAAAUCAGAACAGCAAAGUGCAUUAAUCACCAGCAAUACUGCAGUAAGCAAAGACAGCUUGAGUCAAUAAACGAGCCCAGACUGAAUGACCAUGAACAACAAAUGCUUCUUCCAAGCAGCCAAACUGAAGAUCAUGAGGAAACUGUAAAAUGAGACAUGUGCAUCAUGUAAAUCUCUCCUCUCUCCCUCCUCCCCUAAGAGGGAAUGUUUUGACACUGAACUGUGGAAUUCUCCAGAGACAUGAUAAAGGAAAAAUAACAACAGCUACCAGCCAAGCAAUGCCAUGCAUGACAAAAAACAGAUGAGGAAGUCACUGGGUAAAACAACACAAGCAAACAUGGCACAACCAUCAAAACUACAACUGUGGUGGAAACAGUAGUACUCAGCUCCUGCUGCAACCCUUCUUGUCUAACCGCAUACAGACAGGGUAGCAAGUGCCAUGCCAGAGUAGAUCAACCAGCCCAGAGAUCUGUCCUACCAAUGGCAACCUACGUGCAGCUGCUCCAUGGACAAUGAGAUACUAAACACACUUCACACGACACACAAGAUAGUAAACCCACUUCAGGAAAUUUUCUCCUUUCCAGAAGCUAGUUAACACCAUGUAUUUAUGUCUCUCUUGUUAUUCUUCCCUCCAUCCCAUUUUUCUGGGCUUAAUCAAAGGGUAGGAUAGCCUAAAGAAGUGCUUACAAAACCCACUCUGUAGGAUAACUGCCAGUAGAUGGAAAACUCCUACUCCAGCCCUAAUGUCCCUUGAAGACUUCUUGGAUGUGUGUUCAAGUGAGAAACCCUACACAGCUGGAUGUCAGGAUGCACAGGGAGGUUUCAUUCCCCCUGUGCUUCUCAAAUCCUGCCUCUGCACAGCAAGACUGCACCUGUCCCAACGCAAUAGCCCUGGCGCCUUCAAUUAAUGCUGAGAAAAUCCUGAGCUAAGUGCCUACUUAAAUUUGAUGGGUUUGCCAUUCAAAUCAUGGUCUGUCAGCCUAAUAAAAGCACCAGUUAGUAAACAACAUUAGUGAACAAACACCAGCAGAAUUAUGAGCAACUGCAAGCUGCAAUUAAUUUGACUUUAGCCACCAUGCCCACACCACCAGUGAUGCUAGUGCUGUAGUUUUAUUUCAGAUCAGUGAAAACAACAAAUAAACAUUUCCAUCACCUCUCCGAAGAAGAGGAAUCAAAAUGACCCAGUGCUGCUAGAGAAACGUACAGUGGAACAGAUGUAAACUACUUCACAGCCCUGAGGAAAAUGGAAUUCCUUCACUGAAGUGUAGCUCGAGCUAAACUAAUCCGAGGUGCAUAUCUAGUUCUUGCAGAGCUUUGAGUAGUCAUCAAUCUUCCUGCAUUCACCAAGUGAUUUGUUAAUCUGCAGUUUUCAUAGCAUAAUAAAGAACAUUUGGAUUAACCAGCUAUUGUCAUAACAGCCUGAUGAGCUUCUUAAAGUCUCUUGGUAACUUACUGGGUAUGACAGAGUAUACAGUGCAGUGAAACAAACUGGGCAGUAUGGAUUACAUCGUGUUCUGCCAUCUGGAAAACAUUACAAGACAAUCACUAAUACUGUGAAGCCUCCUGAAUCUGUUCUUCAUUUAUAAUGUAACCCUUUGAACUCCAGAAAGAGCAUCUGAAGAGUGAUUUGUAAAAUACGUUACUGAAAUCCUAAGGAGGAUCUUGUUUUAAAUAAAAACCAUAUCUAAGUACAAAUUUGAAUUUCAGUUUACAACCUUAGCCAAUUAUAUACCAAUGCAAAUCUCCACUGAUGAACUGUCUUGCCGAAUCCAUUCUUGUGGUGGAUUAGUUAUUCCAGAGAAACCACACUGGAAUACAGCUCUCCAGAAUCAGCAAGGUGAUUUAAGAUGCCCCAGUGACUGGUUAGCAACUUCUAUUAGUUAUGCAGUGAGAUUCAAAAGUGUGAUGGCAUUUGACAGCAACACAAAAAUUUAAGGUCACUGCCCCAAAUAAACUCAGUGAGUGGGUGGGAGAGGCUGGCAGCGGACAGAGCCCCUGCAGUCACAGAGUAUAUAGGUUAUUCCUGUGCUAUAUGUCAUUCCUGUGCUGGUAGGGGCAGAAAAAACUGCUCAUGAUCAGCUGCUGAAGAGAAAUGCUGCCCAAAGAAUGCACUGGAGAACAACUCAGCAGACAAACAUUGUGUUUUGUAUAGUCACAGUUGCCUUUAGUAUCUCCCGCUUUUCCCAUCAGGAAUGCCCAGCAUCCCAUGUUAUUUCUGGCCCAUGGUGCGUGUGCUGCAGGACUCACUCCCGCUGUAAGAGCAGUCAGACAUGCUCCUUGUCAGCAAGGGACCAGCACCACCUCUGACAUGUGAAGCAAAGUUUAUACAACAGCACUUAGAUCCAUUUCUUUGAUUUUUUUGCUCCAUGGCUGAAAGCCAACAAGGGUCAACACCACGCAGCAGUUUAGUUUCACAGUGAAUCCCCUGUACCGAUAGCCCUGGGCUGACAUACCCCACUGUGCUCCCUGAGAUACUUUUUUUCCCAGGAAGACAAAGCCAAGCCCUUGACAGGACAACCUGCCAAGAGCUCAGCAAAUGAAACCUCUCAACUGGCUUUCCCUGGCCACUCCCAUUUUACUUUCAAGACUUCAGUACGCCUAAGGAGAUAUGCAACAGGGUUAUUAUCCACAGCUCAGGAAAACAUAUUUAUGUAUGUGUAUAUAUACAUAAAUUUGCAUACAUACACACAGAGUCUCUAUACAAAGUCAUGCUCAUACAACAUUCUCAACUCUUCCACAAUCCCCAACUCUCCAAACAAUCAGGUCUGGCUAGCAUCAUCACAGAUUUAUUACAAAUGUGGUAAAAACUAUAGGAGUGCCUUAUAGAAGUUGCUGAUAAAGUUAGAUCAUGUCACAGGCCAUGCAAUAAUCUGAAAUCUCAACCGAUAGAAAAGCCAAAGCACUGGGGGAUUUUUGGAACAGUUCAGGUCUGUUUGUUUUUAAAAUCAUGCCCUGAAAACAUAAACACAGUUUCCAUCAUAUCAAUGCUUUGACCCAGACUGCCUCAGAAAUGUGGUAAGAAACUGAAGGUCCUUUUGGACAAUAGCUUAUCAUAGACAUCAUCAUCCUAACAGCAUUGUUACACAAUUCCCUGGUUAAAGGAGCACAGGUGUUUCUGGAGGAUACAACAGCUGUUUGAGAGACCACAAUGGAGUAUUUAUAUGUUGGGAAAGGUUAGCGAUAUUAACAGCUAAAAUUGUGAAUUAUCUCUAAAAUAGGAGUUCCUUAAAUAAACUGUAUAGAGGUGCACAAACGCACAUACACAUUCCAAAAAGCACAUGUACACAAAAAUACUGAUAUAUUAUGUACAUCUUUAUUACUAACGUUGAGAUAGAUACUUUCUAUUCCACCUGUGUGAUAUGCUACACGAGACAGUUAUUCCCUCUGAUUUUGUUAUCAGAUCACAUAACAGGAACCUUUGUAUUAUUUUUGUAUGUGUUAGUGAACACCACUUUAUGACCUGGCUCUUAGUUUUAUUAUCCACUUAAAUACCUAUCAUGUACUAUUCUUGGAAACAAAACCAAGAAUACUUCAAAUUCUUUGAAUAAAGUCUAUUAAAACUACUUAAAGCCACGAUAUGAAGAAAACGUAAGAAUUUUUAUAGUCUAGCUUUAAAACCAUAUGUUUAGCUCAGCUAAUAAAUCUGUUCAUGUAAACUCUGCAGCAUUCAAAUAAAUGUUUAAAUGCUCAAGCUGCUAAAAAUCAGAUAGAGUUUCUAGUUCUCCAGUUAUUUAAUCCAAGCUAUUGAAAAGGACAUUAUAGAAUUUAAAGUGUCUGCUUUAAAAUGAGACAAAACUGGUAAGAUAUUUUAAAACAGGCAUAUUUAAACAAAAUAGUCCUUUAGCCACCUUGAAAAAAUCCACUUUAAGAUUAGCUAGAAGUAUAAUUAACAGUUCUACUACAUUUGCAUCAUAGCCAUAAAAUUCUCCUUUUCAUUUCAGUACUCUUCAGUCAGUUUUAAAGGUAACUGCUGUGCUGAUCUCCAGCUUACAAUGAACAGAGAAGUGCUAGUAAAUCAAAAGCUGUCCAAACCUCCUACUGUGGAUUAAUGUAUACAUAAUGGCUGCUUGCCCAUGACUGGAAAAACCUUCUGAUAGUUUAUUGCUGUCAGAUGCUUCAUUUCCAAUGGCCAAAACACAAUGUAAGAUUUCAGAGGACAAAUUCUUCAGGCUCCAUAUCAAGCACAGAAGUACGUGAACACCAUUAAAACCCACUAAUUUUUAUAAGAUGCUUUUGUCAAGCAUGUGUUUGACUAAUUCACAAUAACUAUGUUCAUUUACAAAAGCAAAUAUAGAGAAACAAUUGGUUUUGAAAGCUAAACAGCAGUAGAAGAUGCAGACAAAGAUGAUGGCAUCAGAAGUUCUGCAGGUACUGUUAGUGUAGCAUUUCUAAUAUUGGACUAAGUCACCAGCUGGAGAAAAGAAAAUCUAUUAAUAUAAUUAGCCUUAUAAAAAACCCAAUUGUCUAGGUGAACAUCCUGUCCAUAUUUAAGUCUUAAAAUACAACAUUUGAUUUCUGAAAGAAUAAGGGGUCUGUGUAUUUCUUUACGGGAUGUAAAAUGCUCACAUAAA